UGAAUACGAGACGCUACGGCGUCGAAGCAGUCUAUGUCAUACUUCCAAGAAAAGCUUGCACUGUCAUAAACAAAUAAUGCCUGUACCAUAACCGACACAGGUGGGUAGGUAGAGUAUACUAAGGGGCGCGAGAUAACUCUCUCUAAGGAACUCGGCAAAAUGACUCCGUAACUUCGGGAGAAGGAGUGCCUUAUUUAUAAGGUUGCAAUAACAAGAUCCAAGCAACUGUUUAUCAAAAACACAGGUCUCCGCUAAGUCGUAAGACGAUGUAUGGGGGCUGACGCCUGCCCAGUGCCAGAAGGUUAAAGAAGUUGGUUAGCAUUAGCGAAGCUGAUAACUGAAGCCCUGGUGAACGGCGGCCGUAACGAUAACGGUCCUAAGGUAGCGAAAUUCCUUGUCGGGUAAGUUCCGACCCGCACGAAAGGCGUAAUGAUUUGGAUACUGUCUCGGAGAGGGGCUCGGUGAAAUAGACUUGUCUGUGAAGAUGCGGACUACCUGCACCUGGACAGAAAGACCCUAUGAAGCUUUACUGUAACCUGAAAUUGAAAUUGGACUUUAUUUGCGCAGUAUAGGUGGGAGGCGUUGAGAAUAUUCUUGCGGGAAUAUUGGAGCCAUCAGUGAGAUACCACUCUUGUAAUGUUAGAUUUCUAACUUUGAAUCAUUAUCUGGUCAAAGAACAGUUUCAGGCGGGCAGUUUGACUGGGGCGGUCGCCUCCUAAAUGGUAACGGAGGCGCACAAAGGUUUCCUCUGAACGGGUAGAAAUCGUAUCUAGAGUGUAAAGGCAUAAGGAAGCUUGACUGUGAGACCUACAAGUCGAGCAGGGACGAAAGUCGGUCUUAGUGAUCUGACGGUGCUGAGUGGAAAGGCCGUCACUCAACGGAUAAAAGUUACUCUAGGAUAACAGGCUGAUCUCCCCCAAGAGUUCACAUCGACGGGGAGGUUUGGCACCUCGAUGUCGGCUCAUCGCAUCCUGGGGCGGUAGUACGUCCCAAGGGUUGGGCUGUUCGCCCAUGAAAGCGGUACGCGAGCUGGGUUCAGAACGUCGUGAGACAGUUCGGUCCAUAUCCGGUGUAGGCGUUAGAAUAUUGAGAGGAGCCUUCUUUAGUACGAGAGGACCGAGAAGGACAUACCUCUGGUGUACCAGUUAUCGUGCCAACGGUAAACGCUGGGUAGCUAUGUAUGGAGAGGAUAACCGCUGAAAGCAUCUAAGUGGGAAGCCCACCUCAAGAUAAGUA
RNAcentral lists this ribosomal RNA (1236 nucleotides) under metagenome. RNAcentral describes it as "bacterial LSU rRNA". It matches the Rfam family "Bacterial large subunit ribosomal RNA", at positions 1564 to 2810 of the family's 2925-position model. The record is from RNAcentral.